GUCGGGAUAGCUCAAUUGGUAGAGUAGAGGACUGAAAAUCCUCGUGUCACUAGUUCAAAUCUGGUUCUUGGCA
Cucumis melo (muskmelon) is the source of this 73-nucleotide non-coding RNA. The record is from Rfam. Lineage: Eukaryota; Viridiplantae; Streptophyta; Magnoliopsida; Cucurbitales; Cucurbitaceae.